AUGCAGACGAAAAUGCAGAGACUGCAAGUGUUUUGCUGUGGAAGGGGGAGGAUUAUAGCAGAGUGGACUUCUGUCUUCAGGCCUGGAGCAGGCGUGGGAGGUUCCUGCUUGACGAUGGCUGAGAUUUUCUUCAGCCCACGUACCCGACCAGCUUGUAAAUGGUUCCCUCUCGUUUGGCUUCAGGAGUGGCAGGGCCCCUUUCUGCCUGACCUCCAGGUAAUUCCGUGGCUCAGUGUGUGGCUCAGAUUUAGCAAGCCCCUGAACUCGCUCUCCGAGUCAAAUGGGACGAAGAUGCAGAGGGCCGACUGUGAGCUCUGGUGCCUCGGGGGUGCAGUUCCAGGGGCCCGGCAGGUCCAGAGGAGGGGAGGAGUUAGCUCUGUCAGUUACAUCUCAAACCGAACCACAGGAGGCUUAUAGACUACAGUUAGUGUGUUCAUGCCCAUCAACUUGUUGGGGGAGGGGUCAGGGGCUGCAAAGUCUGAUGGACCAGUGAUGACUGGUCUCUACCCACUAAGCCUCAAAGUUCUUGACUUCUUUAUGGCAAUGUUCCCCAGUAGUUCCUUCUAGGUAUAUGCUACCAUGUGAAAAAUUCUUGUUUCAGCUCCCUGGCCUAAUCCGGAUCGUUCUCUUGAACUUUUAGCAUCCGUAGAAUCGCGUGUGUUUACUGCAUUUACUUUAGCCCAGCUGGGACACUUGAUCAAACCCUCACUGGCACCAUUUUAUUUCUCGGGAGUUGCCUUGGCCCUUGAUUCCAGCAAGGAGACAAAAGAGAGACACUGCGUCAAGGGCUGGGCACAUCCCCACAGGCCGGGCUGACUGGCCUCUGAGAAGUCUUCACAAAGGCAUGAGUAUUCUAUAAGAAGGCCACUUCCUGGUUUCCAGUGUGAUUCUCUGGAUAGGUGAGAAAGAACUGUGGCCUCCAUCUGCCACACAGUGUGUGUGUGUGUAUGUGUGUGUGUGUGUGUGUGCGCGCGCGUAUGUGUGAGUAUGCGUGUGUGAACGCUUGUCAUUUUGAAAAAUUUCAAACUUUAUGUAGCAGUUUCUUUCUCACCAGGGUCUCUGCUUGUGUGAAACUUUAAUUUUAUAGCUUUGGCUGUUAAUUCAUCAUGGGCACCACCAUUAAUAAAUAUUUAUGGAGCUUUCA
Molecule: long non-coding RNA, 1144 nt
Filed under: Felis catus (domestic cat)
Lineage: Eukaryota; Metazoa; Chordata; Mammalia; Carnivora; Felidae
Description: lncRNA (ENSFCAG00000053448.1)
Source: RNAcentral